RNAcentral lists this long non-coding RNA (3260 nucleotides) under Haliotis rufescens (red abalone). RNAcentral describes it as "uncharacterized LOC125376864". Lineage: Eukaryota; Metazoa; Mollusca; Gastropoda; Lepetellida; Haliotidae. The record is from RNAcentral.
UGUUCAUGUGAUUAGCGAGAAAACUAUGGAUGUUUCUUCAGCGUCCAAAAACCCAUAACAUGGGGAUAUAAUUCAGUGUUGGCUGAAAAGCGCGUUUUUGCGUCUUGGACGCACAAAAAUAAGUUUGAACGCACCUGCGUAACGUGUGGGUCUCGUGGACGCAGUGACUGGGGCUAUAUUAAUUUCAUAUUGAAUUGACACUGUUAUCGUAAAUCAAAGACGUACGUCUUUGCGUAAAGGUAUUUGUUGCCAAACAAGACAGCGAAGCAUGUUGAUUAACACUUCCGUUUGCUAAACCAAACCAGUUUCAUUAUUCUCUCCCUUUUUAUGACAAAUACCCAAACCGGUUUCUUGACCCAUAUCUAUUGUCGGUUUUGCAUGUAUUAAUUUUCGGUAUGGUCCGUAGCUUUGCUUCAGCCAAUCAGGUGCCACAUAUUAAGCAAGUCGGAUAUAGUCGUAAUUAAUUUAGCUUGCUGAUUGGUCGAAAAUAUCCUGACCUUGUGUCAAACUAAAAAUAGCCAGGGUAUACUUCAGAACGUGGUAACAGUGACCCGCGAAAUCGAGCGACCGUGUAGGAUGAUACGCUAUGUUAUCGCGGUAGUUAAUUUAUAAUGGAUCGUACAAACUUAUUAAAUAUGUGAUUCACAAAAUGUGUGUUGUUCAUUGGAUUGAUUGAUGCUGAUUUUCUUUACCGAGUUCGGUAAACAAAGUACCUGUCAUUGGUGAAUCUUACCGCAGUAAGUAAGGCUGUGUGGAUUAUAUGGUAUAUCACUUCCUGUUUUGAAUUUUGCAUACGACCGAGGUUUGGUCAAGGGACUUCGUUUGAACAAAUGGGUUCUUUUUCUAAUCAAUUUUGAAUGGAGGAAGGGGUAAUUCCACUUCAAAAACAUCCCAGGAACUGUCAUAAAAAAGUUAACGUAUGUACAAGUAGCCGUGACAUACCGCAACGAGUCCUGUAUUCGAUCAUGCGAUGAAAUAUAUCGUGCUUAGAUUUGCAUAAGUAAACAGUCGACAGGUUGUGUGGAUUACGAGAUUUAUCAAUACCGCGAUACUGUAUAUGAUAAAGAAUGAAUGCGAACACUUGAAUGUACAAUGAUGUAAGCAUUGUUUUUAUUUAGCGGACUCAGAAUAUUUAGUUAUUCUACAACAGACUUAUCAAGCUGAUAAUAAUUCAAUAUCUUGUGAGUCAUAUUAAGAAUUGCAAAACACAUUUUGCCAGGACCGUUUUUGGUGUAACUGACAUGUUUAAACAUUUAUAGCACCUGAAACAUGUUGACUAGAUUUAUCAAGGAAAUGCUGGAUCCUGAACAUGCUCUUACUAAAAAAACGUUUGAUAUGCCAAUUAUAUUUUAUGACUCAUUGAUCAUUGUCAUAGUUACAACAUGAACUCAAUACUCAGUACAGUAGCAUCAGAACAGCCAUUGAACUUAACUGAAUCCAAAACUUCAAAUCAUUGGUAGAUCUCGGUAAAAACAUUCACAAAUGUCUGUCACAAUGACCCCUCACCAAUGGCUGACCCGUGUACUGCCUUUUCAUAUACAAAGUUAGAUAUUAACAUGGAUAAUUUUGUGUUAUAAUAUUCAUUAAUAUCAAAUGUCCCUUUUAAGAAAUUGCUUGUCCUUAAUGUAAACCCCUUGGUUAUGAGAGCAGGAUGUGCUCUGAUGUGAACCUUUCUCUCACUUUGCCUGUUUGUUGAUAUUUUGCAGUUGCGAAAAGAUUUCUUAUUUUUCACAACCACUGUGUUCUGUUGUUAAUGUUAUGUUAUAAUGCUAUAAAUUAGACCCCUCCAUUUUUGUUUGGGACCCCUAAUUUUAUGAUGAAGGGGUCCAAGUGACCCCAAGAAAAUUUAAGCCAAAGUAGACACUGAUAUAUGUUAUAUUAAUGUCUUAUGUUUGCAAUGGAGUUUUGGUUUUUUUUCAACAAAAGGUAAGUAAGUACAGAGACCAUAUGGUCUCUGGUAAGUACAAGGUAAAUUUUUUCAAUAUGCUUCAACAUGGGGAAAGGGUCAGACAUUGCACGCUUGUGACAGUUGUCCUUGUGUCUGGGGGAUGGGGGGUUGAAGUUUAUGGCAGUAUUGCUCCCAGACUUGGCAGGUAUCCAGGUGCGCGGAAGCUACGCCCAAUUUUUUAAAAGUACUGAUUUAACUUCGAAAUUUUACUGCAUCUGCCAUCUUGUUUUUUUUACUUAUUGACUUUUGCCAUUGACUUAUUACAUUUCUUGGUGUGAAUAAUGUCCAAACUGCACGAAAUUGCUUAAAAUGCAAUCAAAUGUUUAAAAAAUUUCUGGGGGGCAUGCCCCCAGACCCCCCUAGACUUUUCAUCUUUUUUCAGGAAAACCUGCUCACAUCCCUGAAUGUGGCAUUCAAUUCCAAUCAUGUGUUGCCGCCUGAACCACAUGAAAAGUGAGAUAUGGAUCACAAUGAAUAAUGACAGCUAAUCAAUCUUUAACAAAUUCACACUGAAACAUUGAAAGGAUAAAGACAAGUUAGUUGUUUUCUGUUUCAGCAUGUUCAGGGUUGUGGGGAGGUUCACAGACAUCCUCAGGGAGGAUACCAAGUAUUGAAAUGUCCGGAUGAAUAAAAGAGACAGUCAUCUGUGGAGCAUCAAUGCAAAGAAAGACCAUAGAAGAGCAACAAAACUGAAGUCCUGCUUGAGAUCCCUAGAUGAGUAUUCCAGGUUGACAGUCUGGAAGGACGAGACAAGGGAGUCCUAAACAGAGGCUGCACCCCUUCAGAUAUCAGAGGUGAUUUGCAGACAGCGAUGACGAGGGUCCUGUUAUUUCAAUGGAGGCCGACCGAGAAGUUGUAUGCCAAAUGGUACUGGGACACACAAAGGCUGGUCUGGCUAAUGUGAGAAGACCAACCAAUGCCAAGCUGGAGUGGAAUUCUUCCAGGACAUUCAGGAAAUUCUUGUCUUGAGCCAUAUGGUAAACACUUGAAAGGAAUGAUAAAUGGGACUUAUUGUCUUUAAAUGUGGACCCAAACACCAAAUGGAAAGUUCACAAUUCUACUAACACAAUGCAGCAGAGAUAGAGUCUUACUGGUAUCCCCUCAUCCUGGUUCCUGUUCAUCCAUGGCAAUAUAGAAAGAAAAGGAGGAUUGAGGGAAAGUAAGUUCUCUGAACUGGUGAACAUAAUCCGUAGGUACUGUCAAGCGAACAGUUAUCACACUCUGUUAUGAGUAUUGAAGAAUAGGAUGAAAUUGCAUACUGCAUCAGGGACCAUCAUUUUAACACUGUUCAAUGUGCGAUAUACUGUAGGCA